RNAcentral lists this long non-coding RNA (1091 nucleotides) under Malus domestica (apple). Its description in RNAcentral is "long non-coding RNA (MDOM_LNC005630)". Lineage: Eukaryota; Viridiplantae; Streptophyta; Magnoliopsida; Rosales; Rosaceae. The record is from RNAcentral.
CUUGGUGUAGAUCCAUCCAAAUCCAUGGAUCUUAGAUGCAAGGAAUGAAGGCCCUAUCUCUUGGGUGAUUAACCUUUGUUUAAAUACAAAGAGGAAUCUACAAAGGUAUAUAUAUUUCAACUCACUUUGUUUUGAGUUGUUUAUUGGUUCACCAAUCUACUAGGCUUUGAAUUUCAUGGUUAAUGUUUUGUUUUUAAGUGCAUGCUAGCAUGAUUCCGCCUUUAAUUGUUAAUUGCAUGCUUAUAGUUGUUGCUUAAAUGAACAUGUUUUCACAAAAUAAUCCUUCAACGCUCACCUUGGAUCCAAGGUAGGUGCACAAUUCUAUCAUACAGACCACUUUAGGUGGUUCUGACUCAUGUGCAGGUAUACUUAUUGAGCUAUGGAUAAGUCGUACAGGUCAUUGGAAGUGACUCUGACUUAUAAGCUAGCAUAUAUGAUGAGAUGCUAACAUAUAUGAUGAGAUAUGCUAUGAGCUAACAUAUAUGAUGAGAUAUGUUAUUAGCUAACAUAUAUGAUGAGAUAUGUUAUGUGCUAGCAUAUAUGAUAAGAUAUGUUAUGAGUUAGCAUAUAUGAUGAGAUAUGUGAUGAGCUAGCAUAUAUGACGAGAUAUGUUAUGAACUAGCAUAUGUGAUGAGAUAUGGAUAAGUCGUACAGAUCAUUAGAGGUGACUCCGACUUAUGAGCUAGCCUUGAUUGAUGAGAUAUGGAUAAGUCAUACAGGUCACGUGAGGUGACUCCGGCUAGCAUGUGAUGAGAUAUUGAUUCAAGCGUACACGAUAGGUAGAUCCGGCUAACAUGCCAUUUCAUAUUGGUUUAUUUCACCUGGGUUACUUAUUCUUGUUGAGAUAUUGGACGUGGCAUAACUGUAAGACUAUUAUUUUGGUUAUGAUUUUGAUUUAUAGUCACGCCUGUUAUUUUCUGGGAAAUUAUACAGGUAUUACGGCGAGGGGCUACUACCUUUGGUGGUUGGAAUUGGUUUGAAAAGUUUUGUUUCACUCACUCACAUUUUCUAUUUUUGUACCCCUCCAGAUUCUAGCAGCAGAGUUCCGUAUCGACGAGGAUUCGUGGCACUUUUUAGCACGUAUGUCUUUU